GCGCGUAAAUUGCCCGAAUCCUGACACAGGGAGGUAGUGACAAGAAAUAACAAUACAGGGCUACAUCUAGUCUUGUAAUUGGAAUGAGUACAAUUUACAUCUCUUAACGAGGAUCAAUUGGAGGGCAAGUCUGGUGCCAGCAGCCGCGGUAAUUCCAGCUCCAAUAGCGUAUAUUAAAGUUGUUGCAGUUAGAACGCUCGUAGUCGGAUUUCGGGGCGGUCCGACCGGUCUGCCGAUGGGUACGCACUGGUCGGCGCGUCCUUCCUUCCGGAGACCGUGCCUACUCUUAACUGAGCGGGGGCGGGAGACGGAACGUUUACUUUGAAAAAAUCAGAGUGUUUCAAGCAGGCAGCUCGCUCUUGCAUGGAUUAGCAUGGGAUAAUGAAAUAGGACUUUGGUGCUAUUUUGUUGGUUUCGAACACCGAAGUAAUGAUGAGAAGGGACAGUCAGGGGCACUCGUAUUCC
Molecule: ribosomal RNA, 465 nt
Filed under: Haptophyta environmental samples
Lineage: Eukaryota; Haptophyta
Description: SSU rRNA
Rfam family: Eukaryotic small subunit ribosomal RNA
Source: RNAcentral